Molecule: long non-coding RNA, 2185 nt
Organism: Carassius gibelio (silver crucian carp)
Lineage: Eukaryota; Metazoa; Chordata; Actinopteri; Cypriniformes; Cyprinidae
Exons: 5
Source: RefSeq, a predicted model, not a curated record
CACCUCUCAAAGACCACUUAUUCAUUCUACAAGCAACAUCGUCUCAAGAAAAACCUUUACCAACCACUCAUCAAGAUUAUGGCUUCCUACACCUCACCAUCAAAAAUCCCCAAAAUACACCACCCUGAGACUGAAUCAAUUCAUGACCGCCUCCAACUGAUUGCUUACAAAUGCCAAGAUCCAUCUGUCAACCCCAUCGAAACUGCACAACAACUUUGCAAUCUAGGCACUGAAAUCAUGAAAAUCAUGUCACGCUGGCACAACCAAAACAAGGCUCUUCAGCAGUGUGUCACUACACUUCGUUCAGAGCUGCAGGACACAAAAAAAAAAACUCUCAGAAGCUCUAACUUCUGCAGAAAUCAAUGCUGCUGCCCAAUACUUUUUCAAAGAUGAACAAUGUGACAUGUCCACACAGACAGAGCCUGUCCCUUCAACACUACCUGAACACAUACCUGAGAAUAACAGCAAACUAGAAAUACAACUUGCAACAAAGUCUUCUCCAAAACCAAAUAAAGAUCUACAGAAUGCUUAACCAUACAAACAUUAUAUUGUGACUACACUUUUAAUGCUACACUGUAUUUAACUUUUGAAACUACAAAAUUUUUAUCCUUCCAUUUACUCUUAAACCACAUUAUUUUCUUUUAGCUCUUCUUUAUUAAACUUUUUAACAUACAAUACAGCAUACUAUAUGCAUAUUGCACCUUUAUAAUUUAUAAUUGUUUGUAUUCUUAUUCUUUGUAUUUUAUACAAUAAAAAUGUUUCUCAGACUUACAAUUUUCAUUAAAAUACAAAAAUAUAACAAUCUUCACUACCACAAAACAAUUAUAUUACUUAACCUGCCUUCGUAACACAGGUCAACUAUUUAUUAUGCAACAAAUCUACUCUUAUCAAUAAAAUGUCAUGGUAAAACAUUGAGAUUUUUCAAUUGCCAGAGCAUUAAAGGAAUUUUCACUGAUGUUAACAUCACUAUUAAUAUAAAUAAUAAAAAUACAACACAAUAAUUAUCUUAUGUUUAAAGCAUAAUGCUAAACAAAAGUUUCAAUAAAUAACAAAUUGUUCUACAUAAACAUUCUUAGAAUGCCAUACUUUAGCUAACAUUUCAAGUUGAAAUACCAAAACUGCCCACUGGUCACAUUAAAGGAUUAUUUUUAUAAUAUAAAUUUAUAUAUACUUUACUGAAACUACAAUAUUAUUAAAUAAUUUCACAAAUGCAUCAAGAAAAUUAAGAUCAUUUCAAUUUUACCAACACGUACAAUAAGGUUUCCAUUCUUUUAGAUUAUAAUUAAUACAUUACCUAACUUUACCUAAGAAUGAACAUUUCUUUAUUUCUUUAUUUUUUUCCAGUAUUUAUUUGUGUUAUUAAUUACAAAUAUUCAUGUCAGUUUAUGCUACAUUAACUAAUGUAGUUCAACUAUCCUUUACAAAUUCUAAUAUAAUAAAAACAUAACAAUACAACCAAAAUAUUAAUAAUCAUGUAGCUAUACUGAUCAUGUUCACUAAUAUUAGCAACUACAACCUUUAUAUAAUAUGUUAAAACAUUUUCUAUAUUCUGUGUGUAUGUGUAUUUGUGUGUGUAAGAGAAAUGAGCAAAAAUCUGUUUUUAAUAUUUGACUUCACUGCAAACUGCAAUAUUUAUUUAUAUUUAUAUAUUUUUUGACAUUACUUAAUACAUUCAUAAAUUGAACUAACAAUACAAAUUAUAUAAUAUACUAUAUUUUUUUUGUUCUGGCAGCGAUGUAUAUUUUGUACAUACAAAAUGUGAAUUAAUGCAUACUCCUCAAAGGGGAAGUACACCAAACUUUGUCUACAUGAUGCUAAAACAUUGAGGAACUUAAAUUGCUAAUGGAUUUUGGAUAGCUUGAACAGUUUGCCGUGGUAAUUUUUUGAAAAAAAAAAAACAGUAAAAACAGAAACAUUCAUUGUCUUGUAUUUUUAAAUUGCAGCUUACAAACAUUCCAAAACCAUUUUUCAUUUAAAAAACAAGAGAUUCUGAGGAAAUAUGCAUAGUUUUACAACUUUACAGCACUGUCUGAUUAAAAGAAAAUUAAAAAAACUGUCAGACAUCUGAUCUCACUCUGUCACUCUGUGAGAGAAAGUAUUUGUGCUGACUGAGUGUGUGUGUCUGUGUGUGAGUGGGGGAUUGGCAUGAGCUGAGUGGCAGAAAGACAGCAAGAGAGAGGAGAGA